AACGAACGCUGGCAGCAGGCUUAACACAUGCAAGUCGAACGAGAUCUUCGGAUCUAGUGGCAGACGGGUGAGGAACACGUGGGAACAUCCCUUUCAGUUCGGAAUAACGUUGGGAAACUAACGCUAAUACCGGAUACGUCCUUCGGGAGAAAGAUUUAUCGCUGAAAGAUUGGCCCGCGUCUGAUUAGCUAGUUGGUGAGGUAACGGCUCACCAAGGCUACGAUCAGUAGCCGAUCUGAGAGGAUGAUCGGCCACAUUGGGACUGAGACACGGCCCAAACUCCUACGGGAGGCAGCAGUGGGGAAUAUUGGACAAUGGGCGCAAGCCUGAUCCAGCCAUGCCGCGUGAGUGAUGACGGCCUUCGGGUUGUAAAGCUCUUUUGUCCGGGAAGAUAAUGACUGUACCGGAAGAAUAAGCCCCGGCAAACUUCGUGCCAGCCGCCGCCGUAA
RNAcentral lists this ribosomal RNA (449 nucleotides) under uncultured bacterium. Its description in RNAcentral is "partial 16S ribosomal RNA". It matches the Rfam family "Bacterial small subunit ribosomal RNA", at positions 29 to 523 of the family's 1533-position model. The record is from RNAcentral.